ACCAGAGAAGAUCGGAUUCCAUGCUAUGAAUGAGCUUUGAACAGUGCCCUCCACUGUGCAGCAGACAAUUCAUGACAUGCGGUGGUGACUGGGGGAGGUAGAGAUCCAGAUUCCAGGGAAGGUGAGGAAGAGGAGGCUGACAAUGAAGAGCAACAAAGACAAGAAUACCUGAAGCUGACAGAUUUCACUCGGUUCGAGGAGGAGAUCCGAGAACGGAUGAGGAGAGAGUGGCUACGUCAGGAAGCUAAAAUUAGGAAACGCAUGGAAGAAAACCAGGACAGGUGGAGAAACCUGCAUUACAUCACACUGAACCAGCUCAUUAGCAAACCGUGGGUAUCCAGCUAUUUCAGACUCAUGCCAAUGAUCACUUAUUCCCAGACAAUACCUGAAGAGCCAGAGGA
Callorhinchus milii (elephant shark) is the source of this 401-nucleotide long non-coding RNA. RefSeq lists it as uncharacterized. The record is from RefSeq and is a predicted model, not a curated record. The transcript has 4 exons. NCBI's taxonomy places the organism in Eukaryota, Metazoa, Chordata, Chondrichthyes, Chimaeriformes, Callorhinchidae.